This 681-nucleotide ribosomal RNA is filed under the name uncultured Actinomycetes bacterium. RNAcentral describes it as "bacterial SSU rRNA". It matches the Rfam family "Bacterial small subunit ribosomal RNA", at positions 74 to 767 of the family's 1533-position model. The record is from RNAcentral. Lineage: Bacteria; Bacillati; Actinomycetota; Actinomycetes.
GGGAGCUUGCUCCUGGAUUAGUGGCGAACGGGUGAGUAACACGUGAGUAACCUGCCCUUAACUCUGGGAUAAGCCUGGGAAACUGGGUCUAAUACCGGAUAUGACUCCUCAUCGCAUGGUGGGGGGUGGAAAGCUUUAUUGUGGUUUUGGAUGGACUCGCGGCCUAUCAGCUUGUUGGUGAGGUAAUGGCUUACCAAGGCGACGACGGGUAGCCGGCCUGAGAGGGUGACCGGCCACACUGGGACUGAGACACGGCCCAGACUCCUACGGGAGGCAGCAGUGGGGAAUAUUGCACAAUGGGCGCAAGCCUGAUGCAGCGACGCCGCGUGAGGGAUGACGGCCUUCGGGUUGUAAACCUCUUUCAGUAGGGAAGAAGCGAAAGUGACGGUACCUGCAGAAGAAGCGCCGGCUAACUACGUGCCAGCAGCCGCGGUAAUACGUAGGGCGCAAGCGUUAUCCGGAAUUAUUGGGCGUAAAGAGCUCGUAGGCGGUUUGUCGCGUCUGCCGUGAAAGUCCCGGGGCUCAACUCCGGAUCUGCGGUGGGUACGGGCAGACUAGAGUGAUGUAGGGGAGACUGGAAUUCCUGGUGUAGCGGUGAAAUGCGCAGAUAUCAGGAGGAACACCGAUGGCGAAGGCAGGUCUCUGGGCAUUAACUGACGCUGAGGAGCGAAAGCAUGGGGA